RNAcentral lists this long non-coding RNA (2171 nucleotides) under Xyrichtys novacula (pearly razorfish). Lineage: Eukaryota; Metazoa; Chordata; Actinopteri; Labriformes; Labridae. The record is from RNAcentral.
UUUACACCAGAAUAUCCCUUUAAUUCAGUGAUUUAAUUAUUUUGCUCUUGGUUAAUAUUCAGACCUUUAAACUCAGAGACUCUGCUCUCUUUAUGUUUCAUCGACUGUGUUUCUUUACUUGUUUAUUAGAAAUUCGCUGAUGUUAGAUUGAAGCUGUCACCGUUAAAUUUUUGAUCGUCGUCUAAAACAAAAAUAAAAUCUUUAUUUUUUCAGGUUAAAUUUUGAGCUGUUUAUGUCAGGACAGUGUGUGAGCCACGGUCUUGAAACAGCGAUCCUGUAAAGUCUCUGAAGCCCCUCUCUCUGGUCUGUUUGAAGCUCCUGCUCUUAUAUAAGAAGGUCUGAUAGUCUCCAUGUUUCCUCCAGCUGUAAACACACAGACUGAAGAGAGGAGCAGAGCUGCAGGAUCCUGUUCAUUCAGGAUCAGCUUCGUCCUCUGAGGACAGAUUUCCUGAAGGAUUUGAGUCUUUCGGCAGAAACCGCUGCAGGGGAAACUUGAGCAUUCAUGAGGGAUAAUAUAUGAACCAUGAGCUUUACAUUUAGAGUCAGACCUGUCAAUCAAAGAGGAGAAUAUGUUACACAACAGGUAUGAAAGACAGCAUCUGUACCACAGCACAAAACUGAGUGAUUUUAAAGUAACAUGCAGGUUUUUUAGUCACUAAUGAAGCUGACAAGAUUAAAACAUGCUGUCAUUAAAUCUGAGGAUACAGUCAGUUAAUCACAUAAAUAAACGAUGUCAGAUAAUCUGAUUAUUAUCAGUUUAAGAGUUUAAAAAAGAUCAAAAUUAUGUCCGUGAUGGAGAAACUAAAGUCUGAGUUUUUCUUGGUGACCUGCAGAUGUUCUUCAGCCUGAAGGUGUUUUAAAGAGCGAACAGGUGAGCUGGAGUUCAUGUGUGUUUGAUAACCUGAACUUUUCUAAAACCACCUGAUGGAUAAAAAUCUGUGUGAUGACGACCAAAAACAUCAGAACGACCCCGACUCUUCUUUAAGGUUAUACAGAAGCAUACAGUAGGACACUGUAGGUUACAGUAAACUACUGUAGGUUAAUGUAGAAAACAGCAAAAUAGUGUAGGUUAUUGUAGAAUACAUUGGAUACUUAGAAUAUUGUUGGUUAUUGUAGGACACCUAGGAUGCAGUAAACUACUGUAGGUUACUGUAGGACAUUUAGAAUACAUUAAAAUAGUGUAGGUUACUUUAGGACACUAAAGAUACAGUGACCUACUGUCGAUACUGUAGGACACUUAGAACACAGUAAUAUAGUGUAGGAUACUGUUAGAUACUGUUGGUUACUGUAGGACACCUACGAUACAAGAAGAUACUGUAGACUAUGUGGAAUACAAUAGGAAAUGUAGGAUACUGUAGGUUACUGUAGGAUAUGUAGGGUACUGUAGAAUACAGUAAGAUACUGUAGGAUAUGUAGGUUAAUGUAGGUUACUGAAGGACACUAAGAACACAGUAAAAUAGUGUAGGAUACUGUUAGAUACUGUUGGUUACUGUAGGACACCUAGGAUACAAGAAGAUACUGUAGACUAUGUAGAAUACUAUUAGUUACUGUAGGAUAUGUAGGAUACAGUUAGAUGCUGUAGGUCACUGAAGGGUACUGUUGAAUACAGUAAGAUACUGUAGGAUAUGUUGUAUACUGAAGGAUACUGUUGUAUAUGUAGGAUACUGUAGGUUACUGUAGGAUAUUAUUAAAUACAGUUAAAUACUGUAAGUUACAGUAGGUUAUUGUAGGAUACUUGGGAUACAGUAAACUACUGUAGGUUACUGUAGGAUACAGUCAGAUACUUCAGCAUAAGUAGGAUACCAUAGGAUAUGUAGGUUACUGUAGGAUACUGUAAAAUACAGUGAGAUACUGCAGUAGGAUACUAACAGUCACUGAUGGAUACUGUAGGAUAUGUAGGUUACUGUAGGAUACUGUAAAAUACUGUGAGAUACUGCAGUAGGAUACUAACAGUCACUGAUGGAUACUGUAGGAUAUGUAGGUUACUGUAGGUUACUGUAGGAUACUGUAGGUUUCUUUAGGAUACAGUUAGAUACUGUAGGAUUUGUAGGUUACUGUAGGUUAUUGUAGGAUAUGUAGGUUACUGUAGGUUAUUGUAGGAUACACCAUUAUCAUGCUGCCUAAAUCAGUUUUUGCUGUUGCUGUGACUUUAGUCAUUCUGGUCUCUCUCU